GAUGAACGCUAGCGGGAGGCUUAACACAUGCAAGUCGAGGGGCAGCAUAGGGUAGCAAUACUCUGAUGGCGACCGGCAAACGGGUGAGUAACGCGUAUGCAACCUACCCUGUACAGGGGGAUAACCCGGAGAAAUUCGGACUAAUAUCCCGUAAUAAUAUCCGGAGGCAUCUUUGGAUAUUUAAAGUUCCGACGGUACGGGAUGGGCAUGCGUAACAUUAACUGGUUGGUAAGGUAACGGCUUACCAAGGCUAUGAUGUUUAGGGGUCCUGAGAGGGUGGUCCCCCACACUGGUACUGAGACACGGACCAGACUCCUACGGGAGGCAGCAGUGAGGAAUAUUGGUCAAUGGGCGCAAGCCUGAACCAGCCAUCCCGCGUGCAGAAGACGGCCCUAUGGGUUGUAAACUGCUUUUCCUAGGGAGAGAAACUUACGCACGUGUUGCGUGACUGACGGUACCCUGGGAAUAAGCAUCGGCUAACUCCGUG
Molecule: ribosomal RNA, 487 nt
Filed under: uncultured bacterium
Lineage: Bacteria
Description: bacterial SSU rRNA
Rfam family: Bacterial small subunit ribosomal RNA
Source: RNAcentral